UAAUAAUUUACCUUUUUAUUAGUUUUAAAACGGCUUUUUAUCGAUUUCUGGUGGAAGCAAGAUUCAUUUUAACGAAAGUGUUACGUAUUGGCUGUUUUUUGUGUGUUCCGUCGCGUGUAGUAUUUUAAAAGUGUGUGAAAAACUUAAAAUUGUGGUUAAGGUGUUUUUACACAGACAAGACGACAAAAGACAAUAAACAAUAAUGGUGAUCUCGUGUGUUGCUUAUGGUUGCAAUAAUGAGCAGGAUAGGCGAAAAAUUCCGUUUCAUACUUUUCCUUUUAAACGACCUGAAAUAUUAAAGCUUUGGAUUCAGGCUCUUCGUAGAGAUAAGUAGACACCAUCUAAAACUAGCCGGCUAUGUGAGGAACAUUUUCUUCCAACAGACUACAUUAAUCAGCCAGGACUGGCUGUUAAAAGAUUAAAGCCUGAUGCUGUACCAAGUGUGUUUUCUUUUCCAAAACACUUGUUACCAAAAGCCAAUGCUCCUCGUAGAAAAAUAAUAAAACAGAUUUCUACUACAAGCGUUCACACUGAAAGUGAAUUAAUGGAUAUUGAUUUACCUUUAGCUUCAACAUCAACUACUCCAGCCAAUAGAAAUGAAAAGUUUGGG
Molecule: long non-coding RNA, 610 nt
Organism: Sitophilus oryzae (rice weevil)
Lineage: Eukaryota; Metazoa; Arthropoda; Insecta; Coleoptera; Curculionidae
Exons: 3
Source: RefSeq, a predicted model, not a curated record